Ictidomys tridecemlineatus (thirteen-lined ground squirrel) is the source of this 523-nucleotide non-coding RNA. Lineage: Eukaryota; Metazoa; Chordata; Mammalia; Rodentia; Sciuridae. The record is from RefSeq and is a predicted model, not a curated record.
UGUCCCCAAACAAGUGUUUUUUGAGUGUGGGGCGCGCCUGCGCACGCCCGGGAUGGGGACUCUGCAGUAUAUUGUACCGGAACCAAUACUCACCGCCCCUCUAGUUGCCGCCCCCCGCGGUGGUGUGUGUGUGUGUGUGUGUGUGUGUGUGUGUGUGUGUGUGUGUGUGUGUACGCGCGCGCACAGCUACUCAACCCUCCGCGCGCCCGGUUACCGAGGACGCGAUGUGCCUGCGGGCUUCAGGACCCGCGCCCCUCCAAGGAACUCCGGGGUUUGCGUCGCUGCAGACGGGUGACUAGUUUCAGAACCCGGAAUGGCAGAUCCGCUCCAGAGCGUAGUGAAGGGAGAGAGGGCUCAGAGGCCAGAGCCAUUGAAGAGCCGCCAAGCUUACCUGCAAUUUCUCAGAUUCUCGGGUCCUGUGUGGACUACACGCCGACCCAAGUAGGGUCGAGAUGCAUUUAAAGCAGAAAUGCUCAGAAAUGAUUUCCUCAACAAUCUAUGGAAGACAAAAAAAAAAAAAAAA